UACGUAGGUGACAAGCGUUAUCCGGAUUUAUUGGGCGUAAAGCGCACGCAGGCGGCUCUUCAAGUCUGACGUGAAAUCUCUCGGCUUAACCGGGAGCGGUCGUUGGAAACUGAAGGGCUUGAGGCGAUGAGAGGGGUGUGGAAUUCCCGGUGUAGUGGUGGAAUGCGUAGAUAUCGGGAGGAACAUCAGUGGCGAAAGCGGCACCCUGGCAUUAGCCUGACGCUCAUGUGCGAAAGCGUGGGGAGCGAACGGG
RNAcentral lists this ribosomal RNA (253 nucleotides) under uncultured bacterium. RNAcentral describes it as "partial 16S ribosomal RNA". It matches the Rfam family "Bacterial small subunit ribosomal RNA", at positions 524 to 776 of the family's 1533-position model. The record is from RNAcentral.